This is a long non-coding RNA of Centruroides sculpturatus (bark scorpion), 1492 nucleotides long. RefSeq lists it as uncharacterized. The record is from RefSeq and is a predicted model, not a curated record. NCBI's taxonomy places the organism in Eukaryota, Metazoa, Arthropoda, Arachnida, Scorpiones, Buthidae. The transcript has 3 exons.
ACUUUUCGUUUUUUUUUUACCGUAGUCAACUUUCGCUAGCACAAAAAUUUCUCCCAAAAAAUAUGUUAAAAAUGACAGUUUGAAUAAUAUUUAUAAUUACACAAUUCGAUCAUAGAUAAAAUUUUUCGAUUAUAUAGUUUAUUUCCGAUUAGGGGAAACGAAAUUUAUUUUACCGUAGACAUACAGUAUUUUCCUUAGGGGUAUAAAAUAAUGUACACGAUACAAUUAAUUAAUUAAUCCCCUGAUCUCAUCGUUUCAGAAGAUUCAGAAAGAACUAUAAGUACUUCGUGUCAGAAAGAAACUAUACUAUAUAACAUUUAAAGACAUAUAACUUUUAGUUUGGAUGUCUAACUUUACAGAUCAUACAGACAUAUUAUAUUGACAGUCUGUUAGUGUUUUUUCAAAAAAUAUUUCCAUUCUUUAUAGUCUUAUUAAUUGGCAAGAAACUAUACUAUAUAUGAUAUGUUUAAAAGUGUUAGAAGGCCGAACCUUACAGCAUAGCUUUUGAAAAGGAAAGAUGAAGAGUUUUAGAGGAAAUGAGAAGAGGGAAGAAAACUAUACUAUAUAACAUUUAAAGACAUAUAACUUUUAGUUUGAAUGUUUAGAUAUUUAUAAAUAGUUGUUAUUGAAUAUUGGAUCCAAUUGUUUAUUUCACAAGUAAUGUUUUUUUGUAUACAUAAACUACAGCAUUAAAUUAUAAUAAAGCCAACAUGGUAAUAGUGUUAUGAAAGUUUACACACUAGAUUAAAAUACUCCUAUCCAAAAUUAAAAUGGAUUGUUUCAGGCUUAACAGUAAAGAAAAAAAUUAAAUGUAUACAGAUAAAAGAUACAGGUGUAAUGCAAUUAUACACAUGUACUGUUUAUAUAAUAUCAAUAUAUCAGUACGGUAUUAUACUUGGCAUUGAUAUGUUAUUUAUAAUUAAAAUAAGUCCUAAUAAUCUUGAAAAUUUAUCAAUGAACCAAAACACUUUUAAAUCAAAUUCUAAUUUCCUAUUGAUUCAAUGUACUGUAUGUUUAUUUCUUAUAAUGAGUAAUGACCUUAGUUACAAUUUUAUUUGUUUGUCUAUCAAAUGAAAUACUCUUAUUAUUAACAACCAAUUAAAAUCUGAAUUUAUAGGAUACAAUUAAUUAAUAUUAAAUAUUGUACAUGUGGAAGUAUUCAAAAAGAGAAUAUUUUGAAAGCAUUUAUUAUUUAACAUAUUUAUUAUAACUUUGAAAAUAACAGGAAGAGGCAUGCAUAAAUGCAAGGGAACUCAGCAACUUCAGCAGUAAAUGCUCAAGAUAUAGGCCUAUCUGAUGUAUUUGCAUCUGAAAUUCAUUGAAAUUGAUUGAUUACUUUUUAGUAAGUUAAUUUUACAUUGUCUUCUCUUGUUGUACUGUUUUAAUAACACAUAAAUGAUUGUAUUCAAAUAUUUUAUUUUUAUAUUAACAUCAAUCAUUUAUAGGCCUUAAUUGAUAUAUGUAUUCAAGUUAGCAAAGCCAACAGCCUCAA